RNAcentral lists this ribosomal RNA (425 nucleotides) under uncultured bacterium. Its description in RNAcentral is "bacterial SSU rRNA". It matches the Rfam family "Bacterial small subunit ribosomal RNA", at positions 356 to 773 of the family's 1533-position model. The record is from RNAcentral.
GGGGAAUUUUGGACAAUGGGCGAAAGCCUGAUCCAGCCAUGCCGCGUGAGUGAAGAAGGCCUUCGGGUUGUAAAGCUCUUUCGGUGGGGAAGAAAUUGCAUGGGCUAAUACCCUGUGUAGAUGACGGUACCUGGAGAAGAAGCACCGGCUAACUACGUGCCAGCAGCCGCGGUAAUACGUAGGGUGCGAGCGUUAAUCGGAAUUACUGGGCGUAAAGCGUGCGCAGGCGGUUUGGUAAGUCAGAUGUGAAAUCCCCGGGCUCAACCUGGGAACUGCAUGUGAGACUGCCAAGCUGGAGUGUGGCAGAGGGGGGUGGAAUUCCACGUGUAGCAGUGAAAUGCGUAGAGAUGUGGAGGAACACCGAUGGCGAAGGCAGCCCCCUGGGCCAAGACUGACGCUCAUGCACGAAAGCGUGGGGAGCAAAC